This 89-nucleotide microRNA precursor is filed under the name Pelobates cultripes (western spadefoot toad). The record is from RNAcentral. Lineage: Eukaryota; Metazoa; Chordata; Amphibia; Anura; Pelobatidae.
CCCCAGAUGUUGCUGAACUACAACUCCCAUGAUUCUCUGACUAUGUAAUUCAAAGAAUCAUGGGAGUUGUAGUUCAGCAACAUCUGGGG